UAAACUUCAGCGUUAUGUACUUUGUAAGGCCCCAUGACUUAGUUCUUUUUCUUUUUGCGAAAUCAUGACUUAGUUCGGUUAGACUAGCUCUCUUAAUCAACCGAAAAAGUAAAGAUCCUUCAGAAAGAAAAUUAACUAUGCUCACAAUGAAUAUUACAAGUUGAACUUAAUUACUAAAGAUGGUCCAGCCUUCACAAGAUUGAAAGCUUGCAUGCAAACUGAUUUGAGCUAAGCCUAGUUUUCUUCCAUAAGUCCAGGAGACCAUCUCCUAAAACCUGCACCAAUAAGGAUCAGCUGCAAAAGUACACGUAUAAGUGAAUGAGGUGAAAAGGGAUAACCAGAGAUUUAAUUACUAAAUGUAGAAUUAAGAACAUAUUGUCUCGAUGUUUUACUUUGACUGGAUGCAAACAACAACAUUGACAAAUUAAACCCCUCAAUAACCUUCUGGAUUAUGCAAAGCCAUCAGUCCUACAUUUUCCCUCCUGGAGACACAUUUAAACAAUUGACUGUGACCAAAUGAGGAGAAAAGCUCAUUAGCACCAAAGAAUCAACAAUCAAAUAUUACGGAUUCCAAAAUCAUGUUAGCUCAAAAACAACAUCAGAAAGCACCUUGCAUAAUAAUUACUGAGAUGCGGAGAUUGGAACCACAAUGCCGAUUACCAAAGAUAUGGAUCUAAAAAGGGUAGAUAAUCCUAAUUAUCAAAGAGAAAAGAUGAUACAUUUUUCUCAUUCCCAAUUACGUAUGUAGUGUCAUGCAUCCUACAGAAGGAUGCACUUAAGGCAUUUCCUUUAUAUUGACGACCUAGGUAAAAGAGCAGCGUUCAUGAGGUUCAUUCUUAGUGUGCAAUUCUCGGUGCUUAGGUGACGUCACAUAUAGGUUCUACUAAACAUACCUAUGACAAAAGAGAGAAAAAAACACUUUUUGCACUGACGAUACAACAUUGAACUGGGCUCUAAGUGCUAAUGUUAGCAUUUAGACAGAAGGGUCCUUGUCAAAGCUUUGAAGGUGGUAUUAAACAACAAUUCAGCUCAGAAGGCAAAAAAAAAACUAUAAAUUAGACUGAUAAGAGUGUGUUGCUCUUCGGACAAAGUUCUGAGCAGAGUGAAUUUCUGCCUUUGUUAUGAGAAGUAGUUAAUUCUUAAUAGAGGUUAAGGCUAUGUUAUUGUGGCAAAUCUCCGUUGUAGUAAAGAGGCGAAUAUGAGAAUUUUGCAAAGUUUCAUACUUUUGGAAGAGCAACAUAAGGUGGCUCUUAUAGCCUCGGUGAUGUAUGAGAUAUAUUUUCUCUCAUAAGACUUCUUGUCUCCAAGUACUGUAGUUAUUCAUUUCAAUAUCUGUAUUCACUAUAAUUCAGUAUUUUGGUUACAUAAUUAAUAAAGGUUUCAUAUUCACUGACCUACCCAAGGACCAAGCACAUGAUCAAGGGAUUCUUAGCUAUGGACCUACCGAAGGACUAAUGACUACAUGUCACUGUCUAGCACCAAGUCUUUCUAUAAGAAGCCGGCCACCCCUAAGCAAAAGGGGGAUAACUUAUUUCCCAUUUGUUUACUUCUCCAUCUUCGAAAUAUCUAGCAGGGCAACCGUAAGUCUCUAAUGACUAUAUGGUGCUUUUGUUUCUACACACUAGGUAUAUGAUUAGGAAUGGGCACGGAAGGCACUAGGAAUUAUGGGUGCAACUGUGGAAUCCCAACGUGCACUCUUGGGUUCAGCCAGCCGUUGUGCCUGUUAGAGUUAAGCAAAAAAGCCAGGAGCGACAAGCCCCUGUAGAUCGAUCUACACCAGCAGUAUACGUACGUGCUACGAUCAACAAGGCACGGUAGCUGUAUGAUGACCAAGCGAAGAUAGCUUCACGUGUAGAGGCGCAAGGAUCAAUCCAGCUGCCUGACUGUGUGCUAAGUUAGCACAUACACGAACGUUACUGUUCCUGGGGGUUUUGGAUCUAGCUACUCUGUACUCUCCCUCGAUCUUUACUGCUCUGACACUUUCUUUCUUGGCUGGAAUGCUCUUUCUUGCCCAUCUGGAACGUGAACCGGAGGAUGAUGCCAAUGAUGCAUCUAGUAGAGAUCAUCUGCAUCCCUAACUGACCUGACCCAAGGCUGACCAGAUAGACAUACAGCAAGUAUUUGUUUGCUUUUAGCCUGGCUUGUAAGACAGACGAUCACAAUGGCUUGGAAUUCCACUACCAAAAUGGCUUGGGAUAUCAUGCAUAAAUAUCAGAAAUGUCGUCCUUAGCAUCCACACUAGACGAGAGAAAACCUAGCUCGUCGUUGCAGAUAGUAGGCCUUACUGCUGGUGAUCAGCAUUGCCACGGUCAGAGUCAGUACAAUGAUGGUCCUAUUGAUCCAUUGAAACUGCAUUACCAAGUGAAAUCAUGCACACAGCUUGGCGGGAUGAGUAGAGCACCAUUGGUUGCACCCACUUCGAGAAUGGCCCACUGGACCUUGGUAAACUCUUUACAUACUUCUAUCAGUCUAGCUCUCUUAAUAAACUAACGAAGGAUAGACGAUUCAAAAAUUAAACCAACUAUACUCAUAUCAAGUUGAAUGGAACCGAAAGAUGGUCUAACCUUUAUAUAUAUAAUCUAAAGCUUGGAUGCAAACUGAUCCGAGCUAAGCCUAG
RNAcentral lists this long non-coding RNA (2617 nucleotides) under Triticum aestivum (bread wheat). Its description in RNAcentral is "long non-coding RNA (TAES_LNC013724)". The record is from RNAcentral. Lineage: Eukaryota; Viridiplantae; Streptophyta; Magnoliopsida; Poales; Poaceae.